AUCAAAGAAGGUAAUAAUCCUGUAGUCGAAAAUGUUGUCUCUCUUGAGUGGAUCCUGAGUACGACGGAGCACGUGAAAUUCCGUCGGAAUCUGGGAGGACCAUCUCCUAAGGCUAAAUACUCUCUAGUGACCGAUAGUGAACCAGUACCGUGAGGGAAAGGUGAAAAGCACCCCGGAAGGGGAGUGAAAUAGAACCUGAAACCGUGUGCUUACAAGUAGUCAGAGCCCGUUAAUGGGUGAUGGCGUGCCUUUUGUAGAAUGAACCGGCGAGUUACGAUUUGAUGCAAGGUUAAGCAGUAAAUGUGGAGCCGUAGCGAAAGCGAGUCUGAAUAGGGCGUUUAGUAUUUGGUCGUAGACCCGAAACCAGGUGAUCUACCCUUGGUCAGGUUGAAGUUCAGGUAACACUGAAUGGAGGACCGAACCGACUUACGUUGAAAAGUGAGCGGAUGAACUGAGGGUAGCGGAGAAAUUCCAAUCGAACCUGGAGAUAGCUGGUUCUCUCCGAAAUAGCUUUAGGGCUAGCCUCAAGUGAUGAUUAUUGGAGGUAGAGCACUGUUUGGACGAGGGGCCCCUCUCGGGUUACCGAAUUCAGACAAACUCCGAAUGCCAAUUAAUUUAACUUGGGAGUCAGAACAUGGGUGAUAAGGUCCGUGUUCGAAAGGGAAACAGCCCAGACCACCAGCUAAGGUCCCAAAAUAUAUGUUAAGUGGAAAAGGAUGUGGCGUUGCCCAGACAACUAGGAUGUUGGCUUAGAAGCAGCCAUCAUUUAAAGAGUGCGUAAUAGCUCACUAGUCGAGUGACACUGCGCCGAAAAUGUACCGGGGCUAAACAUA
RNAcentral lists this ribosomal RNA (833 nucleotides) under Staphylococcus aureus. RNAcentral's name for it is "partial 23S ribosomal RNA". It matches the Rfam family "Bacterial large subunit ribosomal RNA", at positions 354 to 1190 of the family's 2925-position model. The record is from RNAcentral. Lineage: Bacteria; Bacillati; Bacillota; Bacilli; Caryophanales; Staphylococcaceae.